GGAACGCCAGUUUCCGUGGAGCCACCCUUGAGAUACCACCCUUCGCCUUCUUGAUGUCUAACCGCGGUCCGUCAUCCGGAUCCGGGACCCUGCAUGGUGGGGAGUUUGACUGGGGCGGUCGCCUCCCAAAUCGUAACGGAGGCGCGCGAAGGUGGGCUCAGAGCGGUCGGAAAUCGCUCGUCGAGUGCAAUGGCAUAAGCCCGCCUGACUGCAAGACUGACAAGUCGAGCAGAGACGAAAGUCGGCCAUAGUGAUCCGGUGGUCCCACGUGGGUGGGCCAUCGCUCAACGAAUAAAAGGUACUCUGGGGAUAACAGGCUGAUGAUGCCCAAGCGUCCACAGCGACGGCAUCGUUUGGCACCUCGAUGUCGGCUCAUCUCAUCCUGGGGCUGUAGUAGGUCCCAAGGGUAUGGCUGUUCGCCAUUUAAAGAGGUACGUGAGCUGGGUUUAGAACGUCGUGAGACAGUUCGGUCCCUAUCUUCCGUGGGUGUAGGAUACUUGAGAGGAGUUGACCCUAGUACGAGA
Molecule: ribosomal RNA, 524 nt
Filed under: uncultured bacterium
Lineage: Bacteria
Description: bacterial LSU rRNA
Rfam family: Bacterial large subunit ribosomal RNA
Source: RNAcentral